RNAcentral lists this ribosomal RNA (520 nucleotides) under uncultured Glomeraceae. RNAcentral describes it as "SSU rRNA". It matches the Rfam family "Eukaryotic small subunit ribosomal RNA", at positions 569 to 1091 of the family's 1831-position model. The record is from RNAcentral. Lineage: Eukaryota; Fungi; Glomeromycota; Glomeromycetes; Glomerales; Glomeraceae.
AGCAGCCGCGGUAAUUCCAGCUCCAAUAGCGUAUAUUAAAGUUGUUGCAGUUAAAAAGCUCGUAGUUGAAUUUCGGGACUAAUAUGUCGGUCGUACUUUGUACGUACUAGCAUUAUUGGUUUCUCCCUUCUGACGAACCACGAUGUCAUUAAUUUGGUGUCGCGGGAAAUCAGGACUGUUACUUUGAAAAAAUUAGAGUGUUUAAAGCAAGCUCGCGCUUGAAUACAUUAGCAUGGGAUAAUGAAAUAGGACGUUUGAUUCUAUUUUGUUGGUUUCUAGGAUCGACGUAAUGAUUAAUAGGGAUAGUUGGGGGCAUUAGUAUUCAAUUGUCAGAGGUGAAAUUCUUGGAUUUAUUGAAGACUAACUACUGCGAAAGCAUUUGCCAAGGAUGUUUUCAUUAAUCAAGAACGAAAGUUAGGGAUCGAAGACGAUCAGAUACCGUCGUAGUCUUAACCAUAAACUAUAGCCGACUAGGGAUCGGAUGAUGUUAAUUUUUAAUGUACUCAUUCGGCGUCCUUAC